This 661-nucleotide long non-coding RNA is filed under the name Anser brachyrhynchus (Pink-footed goose). RNAcentral's name for it is "lncRNA (ENSABRG00000016059.1)". The record is from RNAcentral. Lineage: Eukaryota; Metazoa; Chordata; Aves; Anseriformes; Anatidae.
AAAUCACCUUUAGCCUUUGCCUAGCCUUUCUUUCUCUGAGACUUUGGGUAUGGGUUCGGUGGUAGUGUUAGAGGAUACAUGAGAGCCUCUCUAUGGUCACCCUGGUCAUACUGCCUGCUUUCAGUACUGGUGGAGAGAUGAAGUGAUUCUGAGGCUGCCACGUAUUUGUUGAUGUACAGUCUGGAACAGAUAUUAUGCAAACCCUGCAACUCUACUGGUGCACGCUGCCUUGCAGGGAAUGAAGUUACGCCAUCAAAAUAUUCAGACAAAUAUUGACAACUAGCUGUGCAAACUGAGCGUUUCCUCUGUGAACUCACAGUACCUCUCUCUUCUAGGUACACGUAUGGUUUCCUGCUGAGGAAAACAUCAUAGAAAGAAGACCCCUUAUCCAGUAUGUGUUGUGAUAGGAAUUACACAGGUUUAGUGUUACUGCUCACUUCACCAAAAUAGCAAUUCAUCAAAGUGACUGGAAACAACAGGUUUCACAGCCACUUCAAGUUGGUGGGGAAUGACAGGUUGUAUCUCAGAUGCUUUAAUCUGAAUUUAGUGCAUAUGAGAAAUCUUGAGAUUCUUAUAUGAAGGUCCUGAAAGAGUUCUUCCUGCAGUGAAAUUUGGCUAUUAGAGUAUGCAAAAAGAUAUAAUGAAGAUAAAAAUGUAACAG